RNAcentral lists this long non-coding RNA (125 nucleotides) under Fukomys damarensis (Damara mole-rat). RNAcentral describes it as "lncRNA (ENSFDAG00000024562.1)". Lineage: Eukaryota; Metazoa; Chordata; Mammalia; Rodentia; Bathyergidae. The record is from RNAcentral.
AAAGAAGCACUUAAAGACUAAAAGGAAAAGUUGUUUUGUUCAUCUCUUUUCUCUUUGCCCACAGAACCCAAAGAAAUGGUAUUACCUGGCAAGAGAUCUGCUGUCUUUUAUGAAAAGUCUGAUCA